CGGUGAUUACAAAUGUUGAAUCAGUGAAUCCUAGCAUCUUUGAGAUGGUAUCAACGAAGCCAAAGAAGUAGGAGCUUGUUCUUUUAUAUAACCACAUUCGUUGUUCAGACCACCAGCCAAGGAUUGUGCCCCCACACCACAAGAAUUCAACUAGGUUAUAAAUGUAUUGAGUAGAGAUUACAUAAGCAAAAGGUAGGAACCAUGGGCUUGAGACCUGUGGGAACAAGGAUAUGCCUUUAAGGAGAUAAAGUGAAGGGAUGAUACUAUAAUAUAGUACUAGCAAGCUGGUUGGAGCCCAGAAACAAAAUAAGCAAUACCCCAAUCGCAAGCCGAGGCUAAUCUUUCCAUGGGCAUGCCAUAAAGGACUAUACUUACAAAACAAAAUCUGGAAAUCACCUUCAGCCCAUCUCUUUUGCUGCACCAGUGUCUGAUGCAAGGUAGUUGGUGCAAGACCUGCAAAUGCCUUCCUUUCUGGAUUGAAAUACACUGAUUUCCAUCCUCUGCAUUGGAUUGACAACCCAGUAAUCACGUCUUCGACUGCACACCCGUAUCUCAGCCCCAUCUCAUUUCCCCAUUGUGUGUUUUGCUCAUAAGUACAACUUGCAAGAGACUUUGUUUCUUCUUCUAAUUCUAGUAUACUUUUUAGUCUCUUGUGAUCAUCAUCUUUCUUCCAUUCAAACUUGCAAUCUUUAGUGAAUUUCUUUCCACAAAGAGCAUCUCUUCUAUGAAAGCAGCCAGUUCCAAUGUACAGAGGGCCUCCAAAACUAUCAAUGCCAUGGAACUCCACAUUGAAAGAAGCUCGUAAUGAGUUGCUGUAUAUAUCAUUCUUGGUAAGGUUUUCAAAGU
Molecule: unclassified non-coding RNA, 846 nt
Filed under: Hevea brasiliensis (rubber tree)
Lineage: Eukaryota; Viridiplantae; Streptophyta; Magnoliopsida; Malpighiales; Euphorbiaceae
Source: RNAcentral